GUGGGCGGUGCACCAGGGCACAGCUGUUGACCCAGCAGGUGGCUGUGGUCGUCAGAGUCAGCUCCUGUGGUGAAUGUCCCCCCUCCCCCGAAUGCAGAGGACAGGAAGUCCUGGGCAGCUGCUGAAACUUAUUUUGUUGCAAAGAUUCUCUUGCAACUUUGCCCUGAACUGCAUCAACUGCCUUACCUGCAUUUGGUGAAGCAGAGAAACAGGUUGAAGAAUAAGCAGGUCCUAGGAAUUUGGCUCCUGCUCAUUUCCUAACUCAGGCAAAGGACCCUGUGGGCAAAGUGUCCCCUGAUAGGGACCAAAACGACCCCCUCAACUAACGGGGACUGCCCUGACACCAGCAAGACCUCAUGUGAUUGACCCUAGGGAAGAGAUCAACCUGACCUUUACUUCCCCGGGCUGCAUGUACCCAUCUGCCUUUGUCUCAUAUUUUCCUGAAAGAAAUCUAGAAGUCUUUCCAGCACUUUGGAGACAGUCUUUGUAACUUUCGUCCACUGCCUACCUUUCUGAUAUUGGUCUCACAGAAAUAAAUUCCUCUCUUGUUUCACCACCA
This is a long non-coding RNA of Canis lupus familiaris (dog), 559 nucleotides long. RefSeq lists it as uncharacterized. The transcript has 2 exons. The record is from RefSeq and is a predicted model, not a curated record. Lineage: Eukaryota; Metazoa; Chordata; Mammalia; Carnivora; Canidae.